RNAcentral lists this ribosomal RNA (253 nucleotides) under uncultured bacterium. RNAcentral's name for it is "partial 16S ribosomal RNA". It matches the Rfam family "Bacterial small subunit ribosomal RNA", at positions 524 to 776 of the family's 1533-position model. The record is from RNAcentral.
UACGUAGGGUGCGAGCGUUGUCCGGAUUUACUGGGCGUAAAGCGCACGCAGGCGGUCUGUCAAGUCAGAUGUGAAAGCCCCGAGCUUAACUUGGGAAUUGCAUCUGAAACUGGUUGGCUAGAGUCUUGUAGAGGGGGGUAGAAUUCCAUGUGUAGCGGUGAAAUGCGUAGAGAUGUGGAGGAAUACCAGUGGCGAAGGCGGCCCCCUGGACAAAGACUGACGCUCAGGUGCGAAAGCGUGGGGAGCAAACAGG